AUUUAUAUAGUAUAAAUAAUUACAUUUAACUUCCAAUUAAAAAAUUUAAAAUAUUUUAAUAUAAAUA
Molecule: transfer RNA, 67 nt
Filed under: Lepisiota frauenfeldi
Lineage: Eukaryota; Metazoa; Arthropoda; Insecta; Hymenoptera; Formicidae
Description: tRNA-Gly
Source: RNAcentral